This 647-nucleotide ribosomal RNA is filed under the name uncultured Bacteroidota bacterium. RNAcentral describes it as "bacterial SSU rRNA". It matches the Rfam family "Bacterial small subunit ribosomal RNA", at positions 61 to 709 of the family's 1533-position model. The record is from RNAcentral. Lineage: Bacteria; Pseudomonadati; Bacteroidota.
GUCGAGGGGUAUAGGUUUUCGGACCUAGAGACCGGCGCACGGGUGCGUAACGCGUAUGCAAUCUACCUUUUACAGAGGGAUAGCCCAGAGAAAUUUGGAUUAAUACCUCAUAGUAUUACGACUCGGCAUCGAGAUGUAAUUAAAGUCACAACGGUAAAAGAUGAGCAUGUGUCCCAUUAGCUUGUUGGUAAGGUAACGGCUUACCAAGGCAACGAUGGGUAGGGGUCCUGAGAGGGAGAUCCCCCACACUGGUACUGAGACACGGACCAGACUCCUACGGGAGGCAGCAGUGAGGAAUAUUGGUCAAUGGGCGCAAGCCUGAACCAGCCAUGCCGCGUGCAGGAUGAAGCAUCUAUGGUGUGUAAACUGCUUUUGUACGAGAAGAAACACUCCUUCGUGAAGGAGCUUGACGGUAUCGUAAGAAUAAGGACCGGCUAACUCCGUGCCAGCAGCCGCGGUAAUACGGAGGGUCCAAGCGUUAUCCGGAAUCAUUGGGUUUAAAGGGUCCGUAGGCGGUUUUGUAAGUCGGUGGUGAAAGCCCAUCGCUCAACGGUGGAACGGCCAUUGAUACUGCAAGACUUGAAUUAUUGGGAAGCAACUAGAAUAUGUAGUGUAGCGGUGAAAUGCUUAGAGAUUACAUGGAAUAC